GGGGCUGUGGCUCAGUGUCAGAGCACUUGCCUCUUACACAUGAGGCACUGGGUUCGAUCCUCAGCACCA
Molecule: transfer RNA, 69 nt
Filed under: Ictidomys tridecemlineatus (thirteen-lined ground squirrel)
Lineage: Eukaryota; Metazoa; Chordata; Mammalia; Rodentia; Sciuridae
Description: Spermophilus tridecemlineatus (thirteen-lined ground squirrel) tRNA
Rfam family: tRNA
About the family: Transfer RNA (tRNA) molecules are approximately 80 nucleotides in length. Their secondary structure includes four short double-helical elements and three loops (D, anti-codon, and T loops). Further hydrogen bonds mediate the characteristic L-shaped molecular structure. tRNAs have two regions of fundamental functional importance: the anti-codon, which is responsible for specific mRNA codon recognition, and the 3' end, to which the tRNAs corresponding amino acid is attached (by aminoacyl-tRNA synthetases). tRNAs cope with the degeneracy of the genetic code in two manners: having more than one tRNA (with a specific anti-codon) for a particular amino acid; and 'wobble' base-pairing, i.e. permitting non-standard base-pairing at the 3rd anti-codon position.
Source: Rfam by way of RNAcentral